Molecule: ribosomal RNA, 1164 nt
Filed under: Cochliopodium sp.
Lineage: Eukaryota; Discosea; Himatismenida; Cochliopodiidae
Description: partial small subunit ribosomal RNA
Rfam family: Eukaryotic small subunit ribosomal RNA
Source: RNAcentral
AUCACUUUGUAAGUUGUUUAAGGUGAAAUAAAUUCAUCCGAAAUAAUUAACUAGUCAUUAAGAGAACAAUUAAACACUUCUUAUAAUUGAAAGAUUAUAGGUUGAAACGUUUUGUUCAUAUUACCAUAAGUAAAAUAGAGUGUUUAAAGCAGAACGUUUGUUCAUUGAAUAAUAGAGUAUGGGAUAAUAGAAGACGAAGGAGAUAUGAAGAAGUUCUUCAUACUUAAUGCAAGUUAAGGUUGGUCAUAUUUCUUUAAUGAUUAAUAGGGACUAUUGGGGUAAUUAAUAUUUCUACACGAGCGGUGAAAUGCGUAGACUGUAGAAAGAUUAACUAAUGCGAAAGCAUUAAACAAAGGUGUUUUCGUUAAUCAAGAACUUAAGUUAAGGGAUUAAAUAAGACGCGUGGAGGUGACCUUUCACUGAAACUUAAAGGAAUUGACGCAAGGGCACAACCGGAGUGGAGCCUGCGGCUUAAUUUGACUCAACACGGGGAAACUUACCACCUCCAGACAUGGGAAGGAUUGACAGAUUGAUAGCUCUUUCUUGAUUCUAUGGAAGCAGGAUCGGAUGGAACACUCCCACAUUACUCUAGAGAAGCACUUGCCAACAUUAUUAUCGAACAUAUUAUCGAGGAAGGAAGACCUCUCGUAUGCUUAAGUGGGUGCCGAAGAUGAUCAGAUACCGUCGUAGUCUUAACCAUAAACGAUGUCGACAAAGGAUAGGAAUGAAAGUAUUAAUAUACUUUCUUCUUAUAAAUGUACUAAAAGAAGUUAUUAUAGCAAUAUAGUAACUUUGUUUACUGUCUCUUCCCGAAUUUUGUAAGAAAUUACCAGUUAUCGGACUUUGGGGGUAGUAUGGUCGCAAGGCUGAAACUUAAAGGAAUUGACGGAAGGGCACCACCAGGUGUUCUUAGAUGUUCUGGGCCACACGCGUGUUACAAUGGUAAAGAUUAAAGGGUUCUUGAUUUUUAUUGAAGUGGAGCAAUCCAAUUCAAUAUUAUCUGUAGCUUAAUAGAAAUAUUUGGCUAAUCCUUAUUGAAUCUUUUUAACCAUAUCUGGGAUAGAUGCUUGUAAUUUUUCAUCUUCAACUUGGAAUACCUCUUGGAAUACCUAGUAAGCACACGUCAACAACAUGUGCUGAUUACGUCCCUGCCCUUUGUACACA